GUGGGGAAUUUUGGACAAUGGGCGCAAGCCUGAUCCAGCAAUGCCGCGUGCAGGAAGAAGGCCUUCGGGUUGUAAACUGCUUUUGUACGGAACGAAACGGUCCUGGCUAAUACCCGGGGCUAAUGACGGUACCGUAAGAAUAAGCACCGGCUAACUACGUGCCAGCAGCCGCGGUAAUACGUAGGGUGCGAGCGUUAAUCGGAAUUACUGGGCGUAAAGCGUGCGCAGGCGGUGCUGUAAGACAGGCGUGAAAUCCCCGGGCUCAACCUGGGAAUUGCGCUUGUGACUGCAGUGCUGGAGUGCGGCAGAGGGGGAUGGAAUUCCGCGUGUAGCAGUGAAAUGCGUAGAUAUGCGGAGGAACACCGAUGGCGAAGGCAAUCCCCUGGGCCUGCACUGACGCUCAUGCACGAAAGCGUGGGGAGCAAACAGGAUUAGAUACCCGUGUAGGUCC
Molecule: ribosomal RNA, 451 nt
Filed under: uncultured bacterium
Lineage: Bacteria
Description: partial 16S ribosomal RNA
Rfam family: Bacterial small subunit ribosomal RNA
Source: RNAcentral